CAGCCGUAAACGAUGCGCGUUAGGUGUAUCGACGACCACGGGUCGUCGAGGUGCCGAAGGGAAACCGUGAAACGUGCCGCCUGGGAAGUACGGUCGCAAGGCUGAAACUUAAAGGAAUUGGCGGGGGAGCACCACAACAGGUGGAGCCUGCGGUUUAAUUGGACUCAACGCCGGAAAUCUCACCGGAUAAGACAGCAGAAUGAUUGCCGGGCUGAAGACUCUGCAUGACUAGCUGAGAGGUGGUGCAUGGCGUCAGUGACU
RNAcentral lists this ribosomal RNA (261 nucleotides) under uncultured archaeon. RNAcentral describes it as "partial 16S ribosomal RNA". It matches the Rfam family "Archaeal small subunit ribosomal RNA", at positions 748 to 1008 of the family's 1478-position model. The record is from RNAcentral.